RNAcentral lists this transfer RNA (71 nucleotides) under Jenynsia lineata (onesided livebearer). RNAcentral describes it as "tRNA-Ala". It matches the Rfam family "tRNA". From Rfam's summary of the family: Transfer RNA (tRNA) molecules are approximately 80 nucleotides in length. Their secondary structure includes four short double-helical elements and three loops (D, anti-codon, and T loops). The record is from RNAcentral. Lineage: Eukaryota; Metazoa; Chordata; Actinopteri; Cyprinodontiformes; Anablepidae.
GAAGGCCUUAGCUUAAGUGAAAGUAUCUGCUUUGCAUGCAGAAGAUAUGGGUUAAUGUCCUGUAGGUCUUA